Molecule: ribosomal RNA, 253 nt
Filed under: uncultured bacterium
Lineage: Bacteria
Description: partial 16S ribosomal RNA
Rfam family: Bacterial small subunit ribosomal RNA
Source: RNAcentral
UACGAAGGGUGCUAGCGUUGUUCGGAAUCACUGGGCGUAAAGGGCGCGUAGGCGGCCAUUCAAGUCAGAGGUGAAAGCCCGGAGCUUAACUCCGGAAUUGCCUUUGAAACUGUAUGGCUUGAGUGUCGGAGGGGAUAGCGGAAUUGCUAAUGUAGAGGUGAAAUUCGUAGAUAUUAGCAGGAACACCGGUGGCGAAGGCGGCUAUCUGGACGACAACUGACGCUGAGGCGCGAAAGCGCGGGGAUCAAACAGG